UACAGAGGGGGCAAGCGUUGUUCGGAAUUACUGGGCGUAAAGGGCGCGUAGGCGGCCUGUUAAGUCGAACGUGAAAUCCCCGGGCUCAACCCGGGAACUGCGUCCGAUACUGGCAGGCUUGAAUUCGGGAGAGGGAUGCGGAAUUCCAGGUGUAGCGGUGAAAUGCGUAGAUAUCUGGAGGAACACCAAUGGCGAAGGCAGCUCACUGGGACGUGACUGACGCUGAGACGCGAAAGCGUGGGGAGCAAACAGG
RNAcentral lists this ribosomal RNA (253 nucleotides) under uncultured bacterium. RNAcentral's name for it is "partial 16S ribosomal RNA". It matches the Rfam family "Bacterial small subunit ribosomal RNA", at positions 524 to 776 of the family's 1533-position model. The record is from RNAcentral.